GAUGAACGCUGGCGGCGUGCCUAAUACAUGCAAGUCGAACGAGAAAGUGGGGGCAACCCCAUGAGUACAGUGGCAGACGGGUGAGUAACACGUGAACAACCUACCCUCGAGUGUGGAAUAACACCGCGAAAGCGGUGCUAAUACCGCAUAAUAUUUUCGGGUCGCAUGACCUGAAGAUCAAAAGCGCAAGUUGCUUGAGGAGGGGUUCGCGCCUGAUUAGCUAGUUGGUGAGGUAACGGCCCACCAAGGCUCCGAUCAGUAGCCGGCCUGAGAGGGCGAACGGCCACACUGGAACUGAGACACGGUCCAGACUCCUACGGGAGGCUG
This 327-nucleotide ribosomal RNA is filed under the name uncultured Acidobacteriota bacterium. RNAcentral describes it as "bacterial SSU rRNA". It matches the Rfam family "Bacterial small subunit ribosomal RNA", at positions 28 to 351 of the family's 1533-position model. Lineage: Bacteria; Pseudomonadati; Acidobacteriota. The record is from RNAcentral.